RNAcentral lists this ribosomal RNA (402 nucleotides) under uncultured bacterium. RNAcentral describes it as "bacterial SSU rRNA". It matches the Rfam family "Bacterial small subunit ribosomal RNA", at positions 355 to 774 of the family's 1533-position model. The record is from RNAcentral.
UGGGGAAUCUUGCACAAUGGGGGAAACCCUGAUGCAGCGACGCCGCGUGAACGAUGAAGCCCUUCGGGGUGUAAAGUUCUUUCGACAGGAACGAUAAUGACGGUACCUGGAGAAGAAGCUGCGGCUAACUACGUGCCAGCAGCCGCGGUAAUACGUAGGCAGCGAGCGUUGUUCGGAGUUACUGGGCGUAACGAGUGCGUAGGCGGCGAGCCAAGUUUGGUGUGAAAUCUCCCGGCUUAACCGGGAGGGUGCGCCGAAAACUGGUUGGCUGGAGGAUGGGAGAGGAAAGCGGAAUUCCUGGUGUAGCGGUGAAAUGCGUAGAUAUCAGGAGGAACACCGGCGGUGUAGACAGCUUUCUGGACCAAAACUGACGCUGAGGCACGAAAGCGUGGGUAGCAAACA